This 254-nucleotide unclassified non-coding RNA is filed under the name uncultured Acidimicrobiia bacterium. Its description in RNAcentral is "contains 16S-23S intergenic spacer region". It matches the Rfam family "Bacterial small subunit ribosomal RNA", at positions 524 to 776 of the family's 1533-position model. Lineage: Bacteria; Bacillati; Actinomycetota; Acidimicrobiia. The record is from RNAcentral.
UACGGAGGGUGCAAGCGUUGUCCGGAUUCAUUGGGCGUAAAGAGCUCGUAGGCGGUUCGAUAAGUCGGGUGUGAAACCUCCAGGCUCAACCUGGAGACGCCACCCGAUACUGUCGUGACUAGAGUCCAGUAGGGGAGCGUGGAGUUCCUGGUGUAGCGGUGAAAUGCGCAGAUAUCAGGUGGAACACCAGCGGCGAAGGCGGCGCUCUGGGCUGGCACUGACGCUGAGGAGCGAAAGCGUGGGGAGCGAACAGG